This 422-nucleotide ribosomal RNA is filed under the name uncultured bacterium. RNAcentral describes it as "partial 16S ribosomal RNA". It matches the Rfam family "Bacterial small subunit ribosomal RNA", at positions 360 to 774 of the family's 1533-position model. The record is from RNAcentral.
AAUAUUGGACAAUGGGCGAAAGCCUGAUCCAGCCAUGCCGCGUGUGUGAUGAAGGGUUUCGGCUCGUAAAACACUGUUGUAAGAGAAGAAUGACAUUGAGAGUAACUGUUCAAUGGGUGACGGUAUUUUACCAGAAAGGAACUGCUAAAUACGUGCCAGCCGCCGCGGUAAUACGUAUGUUCAAAGCGUUAUCCGGAUUUAUUGGGCGUAAAGAGAGCGAAGACGGUUAUUUAAGUGUGAAGUGAAAGCCCUCAGCUAAACUGAGGAAUUGCUUUGGAAACUGGAUGACUUGAGUGCAGUAGAGGAAAGUGGAACUCCAUGUGUAGCGGUGAAAUGCGUAGAUAUAUGGAAGAACACCAGUGGCGAAGGCGGCCUUCUGGACUGUAACUGACGUUGAGGCUCGAAAGUGUGGGUAGCAAACA